GUACGGUCGCAAGACUAAAACUCAAAGGAAUUGACGGGGGCCCGCACAAGCAGCGGAGCGUGUUGCUUAAUUCGAUGCUACGCGAAGAACCUUACCUGGGCUUGACAUGUUUGGAAAAGCAACAGAGAUGUUGUGUCCGCAAGGGCCAAUCACAGGUGGUGCAUGGCUGUCGUCAGCUCGUGUCGCGAGAUGUUGGGUUAAGUCCCGCAACGAGCGCAACCCUUGUUCCAUGUUGCCAGCAGGUAAAGCUGGGGACUCAUGGAAGACCGCCGGGGUCAACUCGGAGGAAGGUGGGGAUGACGUCAAGUCCUCAUGCCCCUUAUGUCCAGGGCUGCAAACACGCUACAAUGGCCGGUACAAAGAGAUGCUAGAACGCGAGUUCAUGCCAAUCUCAUAAAGCCGGUCUCAGUUCAGAUUGAAGUCUGCAACUCGACUUCAUGAAGCUGGAGUUGCUAGUAAUCCCGGAUCAGCACGCCGGGGUGAAUACGUUCCCGGGCCUUGUACACACCGCCCAUCACACCACGAAAGUCGGCAACACCCGAAGCCGGUGGCCUAACCGUAAGGAAGGAACCGUCGAAGGUGGGGUCGGUGAUUGGGGUG
RNAcentral lists this ribosomal RNA (600 nucleotides) under uncultured bacterium. RNAcentral describes it as "bacterial SSU rRNA". It matches the Rfam family "Bacterial small subunit ribosomal RNA", at positions 880 to 1482 of the family's 1533-position model. The record is from RNAcentral.